Molecule: long non-coding RNA, 254 nt
Organism: Hibiscus syriacus
Lineage: Eukaryota; Viridiplantae; Streptophyta; Magnoliopsida; Malvales; Malvaceae
Exons: 3
Source: RefSeq, a predicted model, not a curated record
UGCUUUGAAAGGACUCGGUGUUAUUCUAUUUGUAUUUGGCUAUGGCUUUGGAGUCUUCCUCCUGUUUGUGUAUUUGCUUGUUAGCACUCCUCUUCUCUAUGACUUCUACAACUAUCGACCUGAAGAGCCCUAGUACGCUGCUCUGCUCGGUGAUUUUCUGCAGUCUGUUGCGCAAUGCGGUGCAUUAUUGUUCUUCUGGGGGAUGAAGAGCUUGAUCACAAAGAGGUAACUAAGGAAGAAAGUUGUGAAGCCAA